GCGGAAAAAUGGCCAAAAAACGGGUGGGCUAUAGCCUUGGUGGGGGGCGUGGGCGAAGUUCGUCCGCCGGACUCGGAAUGGCCCCAGACUUUGCGGGCGGCCUUCGUGUGCCAAAAAUAGGCGACGGGCACAGCCGCGCCCAAAAAUAAGCGCCCGAAGUUCGGGGUCCCAAGACCCCCCAGCGGAAAAAUGGCCAAAAAACGGGUGGGCUAUAGCCUUGGUGGGGGGCGUGGGCGAAGUUCGUCCGCGGGACUCGGAAUG
RNAcentral lists this long non-coding RNA (261 nucleotides) under Citrus x clementina. RNAcentral's name for it is "Citrus clementina (C. clementina) long non-coding RNA (CCLE_LNC001675)". The record is from RNAcentral. Lineage: Eukaryota; Viridiplantae; Streptophyta; Magnoliopsida; Sapindales; Rutaceae.